Molecule: long non-coding RNA, 432 nt
Filed under: Nicotiana benthamiana
Lineage: Eukaryota; Viridiplantae; Streptophyta; Magnoliopsida; Solanales; Solanaceae
Description: long non-coding RNA (NBEN_LNC035137)
Source: RNAcentral
UUAUUCUUUCCAGCUGUCCGCUUCAAUUUUGAAUCGUGCAUUGAUUGCUCCAUUUGGGAAACCCUUUUCAUCAUUUAUGUACCAACGAGGUUGAUCUAAAAAAAUGGUAAAAACCUAAAUAGAAGAAAGAAAUAGUGAAGCAUUAAAAAGGAAUACCUUUAAUGAUGACUGCACUAUGUCAUUCAUCCAAGUCAAAGAGUUGAUUCUCAAGCUUGGCUCUCUCGAUUAGACCAAUUAGGGGUUUCAACCACGCAUCAGCAUGACCUGAUUUUCUCAAAAUAUUACCAUCGACAGGAACCUCCAUGAUAACCCGUGUCAUAGCCGACUUCCACUUGAGGAACCAACCUCAGUGUGAUACACAUUUGUAGUAAGAACUAUGGAAGGAGUCAAAAUAGCUUGGGCGGAGCAGCAAAAACAACAGUCACGACUACC